Topomyia yanbarensis is the source of this 1491-nucleotide long non-coding RNA. RefSeq lists it as uncharacterized. The record is from RefSeq and is a predicted model, not a curated record. The transcript has 4 exons. Lineage: Eukaryota; Metazoa; Arthropoda; Insecta; Diptera; Culicidae.
UUUACUCCCAGAAAGUGCGGAGCAAACAAACAAAAAAGCGUCACUUAUUUUCCGGUUUGCCAUCAAAAGCAUAAGUAGUGAAUUACUCCCAACUUUCUACCCGCUUCUCCUGCAAGUCACCUUAUAUAUUUCUGACUAUUUCUGUUUAGAUCAGCCCACCGAGUCUUCCUCUGAAAAAGCUGGGUUAUGUAUUGCCCCUCAUAUACGCUUCUAUGCUAAUGUAUUUGGUGUUAAUCACAGCAAGAGUAUUCGACCAUUUCCGAAUCCUGUUCAAGUAUUUUAAUAAUCCUAUUGAAUUUCUUCGGCACCCCGCGACGGUGGUAUGCCAGCACCAAGAAAAAAGUGUUUUUAUACAUUACUGCUGAAAAACAAAUAGAAUUUGAUCUUUUUCGGAUGUCGGAGCAAAUCAGGAGGAGCCGGGAAGCAAAUCGGUAUAGAAUACAGGAAUCCUGUCUUGUUUGGCCGUGUGAGCAUGUAUAUUGCGCUAGAGUUGCUUUGAUUGUGCUAUCAGCAGGAGACUGCCACCAGAAUUGGUUUGCUACUUUUCAACUCGGAGGCGGACGUCACUAACCUUAUUCGAGGACAUUCGGUUUGCUAAAGAACGACAAUAAAGCUGGUUCAAUAUUAGGCGAUGUCUAAGCCGGAAACAUCCUGCUGACCGAACAGGAUGUAGACAGGUUAGCCGACAGCGAUAGUGCAGCUAUCAAAUGCCCUGCCAAUAGUUUUGUCGGAACACAACAUGGCAAGGUGGAUGUUUAGUCACUAGGAAUUACUUGUAUCGAGCUGGAGAAACGGAAUCAUUCCUACUUCAACAUGAUGGAAAUGUCGACGCUGUAUCACAUUGCGCAAAAUGAGGCGUCCACGUUGCAGGCUACGGACUGGAAAGAUGUGUUCAGCAGUUUUGUUUUUUGCUUGAGAAAACCUUCGGUAGAGUAAACAAACUCUAGUAAACUGUUAACUCAUUCAUUCAUAACUAGGAUACGAUUGCUAAUAUGCUAAUUGAUUUAAUAGCAAGAACAAUAGCUGCCGUUACAGAAUUGGACAAUCUGAACUGUAGGAAGAUGAACAAAAUUUAAAUGGCCAACUCCUGCGAAACGGAAGUAACGUCGGCGAGAACACACCGGACGAGCGAAUCGGUGGCGACAGUAGUACAAAUAACAGGAUCACCUUAGAACAUUCACUCCAUUCGGUGAAUCAGCUUGGUGGAAUUAUACGGAAUGCUUCGAGGCAUCAGCUGCCAGGAUCCGGGCUGCCGCCAAUGCACAACAGUAGUAUGAAUAACUCUAGUGAUCGGGGCAGUUUGAAACCUGGCGACGGUAUUGGUCGGAUGGAUUCCGGAAUUGGUGGAGGCAGCAGCGAAGGUAUAGACAGAUGGUGGAAGUUGUUCUGGACUCUUGCUCCGGAAACAUCAGUGUUCAUGCCACGGGUUACCAAAAUUUAUAGUCCCGUUGUACCUAAUCACCAUUCACAUCCAAUAAUGUAAAACUAAUA